GAAUUGCGAUAAGUAUUGUGAAUUGCAGAUUUUCGUGAAUCAUCGAAUCUUUGAACGCACAUUGCACCCUCUGGCAUUCCAGAGGGUAUGCCUGUUUGAGCGUCAUUUCUCUCUCUGGGCUGUGGGCAUUUCUCUGCCUACAGUCCGGGUGUUGAGUGAGACCCCCCCUGCCCAGCAGCGGGUCCGCACGAAAUAGACGCUGGCCAGAGUCCCCCAGCCCCCAGCGCCCGCUAGAGCCUGUGGUGAAUGUACUAGGUAUUGCCAUCUCAUUCCAACAGCAACAGCAGCCGGGGGCCCUCUCAGGGCUCGGCCUAAGAACACCUGCCUAAAGGUUGACCUCAAAUCAGGUAGGACUACCCGCUGAACUUAA
Molecule: unclassified non-coding RNA, 370 nt
Filed under: uncultured Saccharomycetales
Lineage: Eukaryota; Fungi; Ascomycota; Saccharomycetes
Description: sequence contains ITS1
Rfam family: 5.8S ribosomal RNA (bases 1-105)
Source: RNAcentral